Molecule: ribosomal RNA, 449 nt
Filed under: uncultured bacterium
Lineage: Bacteria
Description: bacterial SSU rRNA
Rfam family: Bacterial small subunit ribosomal RNA
Source: RNAcentral
GAUGAACGCUGGCGGCGUGCUUAACACAUGCAAGUCGAACGGGAAAUAUUUCAUUGAGACUUCGGUGGAUUUGAUCUAUUUCUAGUGGCGGACGGGUGAGUAACGCGUGGGUAACCUGCCUUAUACAGGGGGAUAACAGUCAGAAAUGGCUGCUAAUACCGCAUAAGCGCACAGAGCUGCAUGGCUCAGUGUGAAAAACUCCGGUGGUAUAAGAUGGACCCGCGUUGGAUUAGCUGGUUGGUGGGGUAACGGCCCACCAAGGCGACGAUCCAUAGCCGGCCUGAGAGGGUGAACGGCCACAUUGGGACUGAGACACGGCCCAGACUCCUACGGGAGGCAGCAGUGGGGAAUAUUGCACAAUGGGGGAAACCCUGAUGCAGCGACGCCGCGUGAAGGAAGAAGUAUCUCGGUAUGUAAACUUCUAUCAGCAGGGAAGAUAGUGACGGUAC